AAAAUUUUUUUUACUAAAAUUUAACCAACUAUCGUGAUCUGAUAAUACAGAGAAAUUUCAUGAUAACUCCCAAAAAAAUGCAACACUGGGGUUCAUCUCUCAACUGAGUUCAUUUUAUCUAUAUAUCAAGCAGAAGCAUUAUAAUAUUUUGCAAAGAUUACGAGAGGCCUUUUCUAUUUAACUCUCGAAGUGGAAGCAUCACCAUUUUAUAAAACAGAUCGAAGACUAUUUGGUGUCUAAAAGUGAGUUACACCAUCAUCUUACCAGGACCACGUGGAACGCUCAACUUGGUUCGCCACGCUCAGCGAAUCUGGCCUUUGCAUUUCAUCACCAGCUCUAUAAAGCUCUUCAGAAUCCAUACUGUUGCAACAUUUCAUCGUGGAUUCGGAGAAAUUCAUCUAUUACGUGUGAAAAUGGUCAGACACCUCGUUAAAAUACUUGGUGAUCUCCAUUUAAUACAAUAAUACAACUUUCUGGACAACUACAGUUGCAAUAUUGUCCUCUUUGAAGAUUAAGGCAGAAGUAUGGCCUAAAUUAAUAAGAAAAAUAACUUUCGUCUUGAUUAAUUGGCUAUUUAUGCCAAAAAUUUAUGAGCGUGUAGUGAAUAUUUGACUAAUAGUAUUAAUUCAAAGAAAAUUAUAAUAUGUGAAUUAUCCUUUAAAACGUAAAAAGUACAGUAAAUGAAGUUAUAGAUGUGUAACGUACACGUAUUAUUUAAAUAUAAGUUUUUUUAUAAUUAAAGCUUGGUAAAGAGAUUAAGAAUAUUUCAAUAAUAAUAAUACUAAUUUAAUUAUGCUAUAGAAAAAGAAAACACACGUGUAUGGCAACUUAAUGCAUUCAGGGUAUGCAGUUUCUCAUACAUAUGUACAUAUUUCAUAACAUUGUAAUGAUCAUUUAAUUAGCUGCUUCAACAUUAUUGCUGAUCUUCGUGAAGGCCUUCGACGAUCAUCAUGCCAUAAGUGGAAAAUUAAUUACAUUCAUUGACUCUCCUGCUUGCUUAUUCGCAGCAGAGGAUGCUCACCGAUCGGCUGAUCUUUUAGUUUAGCUACACCGGCUCACCUCAUCUGUGAAGGAGCGGGUAGAGUAAAUAUGUAAGAGCACAACUGAUUUGCAAAUUACAGAGAGUGCCUAUGGUUGCCAUGCAUCUUAAGUAAAUUUCACCUGUACUGAAUUUCUAGUUAUUUUUUUUUAUUAGUUUUCUUUAACAUUACCCAUGUUAUUGUUUUUUGUGUUAUUUUGAAACAGUACAUUUGCAUAAAUUAGUUUUCUUUUCUAGUAAUCUAAAGCUCAAAAUGUAUAUUUUUAAGAUGUUUUAUUGAAGUAGUCUACUUUGAAUUUUCCUAUAUUUUAUCUCCAUUUUGUACAUAAUAUUAAGAAUGUGAAUAAAUUUUUAAAUUUCAAAUAUGAA
RNAcentral lists this long non-coding RNA (1408 nucleotides) under Ceratitis capitata (Mediterranean fruit fly). RNAcentral describes it as "uncharacterized LOC105664964". Lineage: Eukaryota; Metazoa; Arthropoda; Insecta; Diptera; Tephritidae. The record is from RNAcentral.